RNAcentral lists this long non-coding RNA (226 nucleotides) under Gossypium barbadense (sea-island cotton). Its description in RNAcentral is "long non-coding RNA (GBAR_LNC014345)". The record is from RNAcentral. Lineage: Eukaryota; Viridiplantae; Streptophyta; Magnoliopsida; Malvales; Malvaceae.
GAGGUCAUUUACUAAUUGUGUCGAACCAUAGAAAACAUUAUUGAGAUAAAAUGAACAAUAAUUAUUGUUAAUAAUUAUCUCAAAACCAAUUUUGUCUAAAUAAGAAAUUGAAAUAAUAUUUCUAGUCAAACUGGGCACAAAAUAACAAUCCUCCAAAAUUAAAUCAAAUCCACUAGGCAAUGAUAAUAUAUGUGUUCCUAUAGCUAAUGCAACAACUCUUGCUCUA